UUGUCACAAUAUAAAUAAUUAUGAUUUCAAUUACAAAUAAUACUUGGUGGUGGAAAAACUUACGUCAGUCGUCGUGAGCGAAUCCUCCUAUAGUAUAAUUUAAAAACAUACAUAGAAAAGGCUUGUC
Molecule: non-coding RNA, 127 nt
Filed under: Flavobacterium sp. 9AF
Lineage: Bacteria; Pseudomonadati; Bacteroidota; Flavobacteriia; Flavobacteriales; Flavobacteriaceae
Description: Bacteroid-trp
Rfam family: Bacteroidete tryptophan peptide leader RNA
Source: RNAcentral